ACGGGGGGAGCAAGCGUUGUUCGGAUUUACUGGGCGUAAAGGGCGCGUAGGCGGCGUGACAAGUCACUUGUGAAAUCUCCGGGCUUAACCCGGAGCGGCCAAGUGAUACUGUCGUGCUAGAGUGCGGAAGGGGCUACUGGAAUUCUCGGUGUAGCGGUGAAAUGCGUAGAUAUCGAGAGGAACACCGGCGGCGAAGGCGGCUUCCUGGACCGAUACUGACGCUGAGACGCGAAAGCGUGGGGAGCAAACAGGA
RNAcentral lists this ribosomal RNA (253 nucleotides) under uncultured prokaryote. Its description in RNAcentral is "partial 16S ribosomal RNA". It matches the Rfam family "Bacterial small subunit ribosomal RNA", at positions 525 to 777 of the family's 1533-position model. The record is from RNAcentral.